Molecule: ribosomal RNA, 253 nt
Filed under: uncultured bacterium
Lineage: Bacteria
Description: partial 16S ribosomal RNA
Rfam family: Bacterial small subunit ribosomal RNA
Source: RNAcentral
GACGUACUGCGCGAACGUUAUUCGGAAUCACUGGGCUUAAAGGGUGCGCAGGCGGCUCGCCAAGCCCGAAGUGAAAUGCCCCGGCCUAACCGGGGACGUGCUUCGGGGACUGGCGGGCUCGGGCGAGCUAGGGGUCUGUGGAACUCCCGGUGGAGCGGUGAAAUGUGUUGAGAUCGGGAGGAACGCCGGUGGCGAAAGCGACAGACUGGGGCUUUGCCGACGCUCAUGCACGAAAGCCAGGGGAGCGAACGGG